UAUAAUUCUCCAUUAAUUUCCCAGAUUAGGGCUUCAAUUUAUCAGAAUCUGAAACUAGGGUUUUCAGAUCAAGUAUUAGGGUUUCAGAUUUGGAAUUAGGGUUUUGUAAUCAAUUUGUUAAGAUUAACCCUAAUUAAUCUUAUAGUUAUUUACGCUUAUGCCAUUAAGUUCCCGAUUUAGGGUUUCAUGCACCGAAUUAGGAUUUCGGAUUCCCGGAACUGAAACUAGGGUUUCCAGAACCGAUUUCUAGGGUUUCUUAUCAAACGUUAGGGUUUUCUAACUGAACGUUGACAUUCUUAAUAUAUUCUUAGGGUUUGUUACAGAUAUAAUUUAUCUGGUCAACCCUUGACCCUUAACCACAUUCUAUACACAUACAUAACCAUAUUCACAGAACUUAAUCACAAAAAUCCUUAAUCCUGAAUAAUUCACCUAUAAGCCUUCACGAAAUUUUGAAAUCCUCAAAAUUCC
RNAcentral lists this long non-coding RNA (468 nucleotides) under Panax ginseng (ginseng). RNAcentral describes it as "long non-coding RNA (PGIN_LNC010886)". The record is from RNAcentral. Lineage: Eukaryota; Viridiplantae; Streptophyta; Magnoliopsida; Apiales; Araliaceae.